Molecule: non-coding RNA, 72 nt
Organism: Rattus norvegicus (Norway rat)
Lineage: Eukaryota; Metazoa; Chordata; Mammalia; Rodentia; Muridae
Source: Rfam
GGGGGUAUAGCUAAGUGGUUCAGCAUUUGACUGCAGAUCAAGAAGUCCCUGGUUCAAUUCUGGGUACCUCCU